RNAcentral lists this ribosomal RNA (253 nucleotides) under uncultured bacterium. Its description in RNAcentral is "partial 16S ribosomal RNA". It matches the Rfam family "Bacterial small subunit ribosomal RNA", at positions 524 to 776 of the family's 1533-position model. The record is from RNAcentral.
UACGUAGGGUGCAAGCGUUAAUCGGAAUUACUGGGCGUAAAGCGUGCGCAGGCGGUUGUGCAAGACAGGUGUGAAAUCCCCGGGCUUAACCUGGGAACUGCAUUUGUGACUGCAUGGCUAGAGUGUGUCAGAGGGGGGUAGAAUUCCACGUGUAGCAGUGAAAUGCGUAGAUAUGUGGAGGAAUACCGAUGGCGAAGGCAGCCCCCUGGGAUAACACUGACGCUCAUGCACGAAAGCGUGGGGAGCAAACAGG